GAGUAUACAAUGGAGAAGUAAUUUAAUCUACUUCUAACCUAAACUAAUACGAUACCUAAUACUCCCUUCUCUUUAAAACAAGAGACCUAUUUAUAGAGAAUAACUUUGAACUCUAAUUUAGAUUCAUUGAAUUUGGACACUUUUAUUCCUUUUUCUAUGUAGGUUUCAACUUCCUAGUGACAAUUAACUUUUUAAAGAGAUCUUCUAGAUAGACUUUCCUUUCUCUUGUUGGAUUUGACUUGCACACCAAGAUUGUUCCACCUCUUUCCUUCUCCUUGUAGGAUUCUUCUUCGAUAUUCCUCACAUGAAUAAGAGCAUUAAAUAUCGCUUGAUCACCAAGAUUUUGAC
This 348-nucleotide long non-coding RNA is filed under the name Panax ginseng (ginseng). RNAcentral describes it as "long non-coding RNA (PGIN_LNC013838)". Lineage: Eukaryota; Viridiplantae; Streptophyta; Magnoliopsida; Apiales; Araliaceae. The record is from RNAcentral.